AUUGAACGCUGGCGGCAUGCCUUACACAUGCAAGUCGAACGGCAGCAUGGAGAGCUUGCUCUCUGAUGGCGAGUGGCGAACGGGUGAGUAAUGCAUCGGAACGUACCGUUUAAUGGGGGAUAACGUAGCGAAAGUUACGCUAAUACCGCAUACGACCUGAGGGUGAAAGCAGGGGAUCGCAAGACCUUGCGUUAUACGAGCGGCCGAUGUCAGAUUAGCUAGUUGGUGAGGUAAAGGCUCACCAAGGCGACGAUCUGUAGCGGGUCUGAGAGGAUGAUCCGCCACACGGGGACUGAGACACGGCCCAGACUCCGACGGGGGGCAGCAGCGGGGAAUUUUGGACAAUGGGGGCAACCCUGAUCCAGCCAUGCCGCGUGAGUGAAGAAGGCCUUCGGGUUGUAAAGCUCUUUCGGCCGGGAAGAAAUCGCACAGGCUAAUACUCUGUGUGGAUGACGGUACCGGCAUAAGAAGCACCGGCUAACUACGUGCCAGCCGCCGCGGUAA
RNAcentral lists this ribosomal RNA (504 nucleotides) under uncultured bacterium. RNAcentral describes it as "partial 16S ribosomal RNA". It matches the Rfam family "Bacterial small subunit ribosomal RNA", at positions 30 to 523 of the family's 1533-position model. The record is from RNAcentral.